CUUUAAUUCUUUUUCUUACAGUUCCUAAUCACAUUGCCUUAAUGCCCAAUUUUAAGUGUAUUUUCCCUUAAAGUCUGGUCUCCUUGUGAACGUCACAAUUACAAUGGUCAAACAUCACAAUUACAAUGGGAGAACUCAGUCCAAUCCGAUCUGGAUUUACUGUUACAAAUAGCAUAGAGAAUCGCAUUUUCCCAGGAGCCAUUUGCUGCCAGCUCCUCAAAGAACAGGGUCCAUCACUUUCAGUGAGUCUGGUGCUGUAGCUUUUUCCUGGCAGUCUUUCUCCUCAGAAAGAGGAGGGGGUGAGUCUGGGAGGAAGGGAUGGAGGAAGGGGGUGGAGACACUGGAGAGGAGGAGCCCACAGAGAUGAGCAGCCUGGUGGGUGGUGGCUCAGGUGGAGUUUGAGCCCUGGGGUGGAGUUUGGAGGCCUGGGAGGAGUUUAGAGCUGAAUUGAGAGGUCUUUGAACUGGAGAAGGACUGCGUGGUGCUCUUGGGAAUAGGAAAGCCCUCCCAGACUGGGCUGGCCAGAAGGAGGAAGUCUCUGAACUGAGACUGCUCUGCCUUCCUGGCAGCUCUAUUGUCGCUCUGCCUUCCCUGCUGGAGCUGAGAUGGCUCUGCUUUCUCUGGAGCUGAGAUCUCUGUGCCUUCCCCUGCAUCCAAGGUCACUCUGCCUUCCCCUGCAUCUGAGAUUGUUCUGCCUUCCCUGCUAGAGCUGAAAUUGCUCUCCCUUCCCUGCAGCUGAAAUCACUCUGCUUCUGGAAGUCAGCUCUGUGCUUACAGGUCCCAGGUCAGCCUCCUGCCUAGGAAGAGAACAGAAAGACCUUAUCCCACUGGGAUCCUUCUCCCUGCCCAGCUCAUUCUGCAGAGCACCAAGGCCUGGCCCAAGCAGGGAGCCUGGAGCCAGAGGGAAUGGCCCCUGGGAGCCACAGCCCCCCUGCCCAGGUGAGUGCAGUCUUGAUCAACAUUGGAUAAUGAGGCCAUUUACAUAGGAUGGUCUAUGAAGCUUAUGGACCAUUUUUUAAAAAUUAAUUUUUUUUAUUUUUAGUUUUAAACAUUCACUUCCCUAAGAUUUUGUGUUCUAAAUUUUCUCCCCCUCCCCAAGACAGCAUGCAAUCUGAUACAGGCUCUACAUAUACAUUCAUAUUAAACAUAUUUUUACAUUAGUCAUGUU
Molecule: long non-coding RNA, 1168 nt
Filed under: Phascolarctos cinereus (koala)
Lineage: Eukaryota; Metazoa; Chordata; Mammalia; Diprotodontia; Phascolarctidae
Description: lncRNA (ENSPCIG00000034583.1)
Source: RNAcentral